GUGAAUCAAUAUUUGUAGCAACGUAGCGAGCAAGGAAGAAAAAAUCGAAUGGAGAUGGAAUUAUUGCAUACAUCAGGCAACAAAAGUCAUGCUCGUGUUUCUCAUGAAAUGGUGUAUAAUGAUCUUAUAUAACUCUAUUUUGCACCAUUUCUUGAUUGUUAUGAACUAAUUAUAAGAAAAUGAAUGUAGCAUAAGAAGAAUGGAUAUCCCCCUCAGAGACAUGAACUAUUUAUUCAAACACACACGUGCAAGAAGACUGGUGCACUUUCAAGUGUGGCUGCAGCAACUAUAUUUGAAAGUAGAGGAAUGGGUAUGUGAGGUGUAUAGGUCUAGGACCAAGUGCUGCAGGUUUGGGCAUGCCGGGUAAUAGAAAGCUGAAAUCCAUGAAGCUUCAAACGGCUAAGGAAGAAGCAAAAGAAGCUUGGCAAUCAAAUGUAAUUCUUGUUGAGCAUGUAGAGAAUAAUUUCCAAACAGUAGUUACAACUCUGAAGGAUGAACUUCAACAAAUGAGGAGACUGUUACAAUCAAAAGUGCAGCAAAAUAUUUAGUUCAAUCAAGAGUACGGCUUGUCUCACUCUAGAUAUGGAUAUGGAGGUGGCCAUGGUGGUGGCUAUCGAUAUGAAGGUGCCCAUGGAAGUGGAUAUCGACAUGAAGAUGGAUAUGAAGGUGGAUAUGAAGGUGGAUAUCGGCAUAAAGAUGGAUAUGGAGGUGGACAUCGACAUAAAGAUGGAUAUGAAGGUGGAUAUGGAGGUGGUUAUGGACAUGAAGGGGGGUAUGAAAAUUAAGGGGAGUAUGAGCAUAAAGAGAGUGCAUAAUCUGCCACCCGCAGCCAUGAGGUGCGGCAAGAGAAAGAAUCAGCCAUUUUGCAUAAGAAGACUCAAGAAGCACUCUUGCAAAAGAAGUUAAUAGCAUCCACUCAGAAAAACUUUUUACUUUCUGGUACCGCUCAACAUGAGGUGCUACAAGAGAAUGAAGCAACCAUUUUGCAAAAAAGAAGGCAAUAGGGAUCACACAACAAAGUAAGGAUGUGGCACUUCAUCGCCAGAAGAUGGCAACAAGCAAGGAAGUUGAAAUCACACAAAAAAAUCAGCAGAAAGGGAAGGAUGUGAUCCUGUAUAAUGUUUAUUGAGAUCAUAGUAUCCCAGCGGCAAAAGCAACCAUUCUGUCAAUUGAUCAGAAAAAGGAGGUAGGUGGUUAGGAGCUUGGCUCUGAAUAUUGUCAGGUUGCCCUGAACUAUGUAAUAAAAAGGGAUGCUAUACUACCUUGUGGUGUUGCGAACAUGACCACCAUGGGGCAAGCUCACGGGUGAUGUAUCGCAUGGCCAUACAAGCAUUUGGAAGUGGACAAGGCCAUGGAAAAAGCGGGAAUGCGACCACAAGUAGGCUAAGGAGGUUUCACAAAGGUGCACAAGUCGAUGAAGAUUUGGAAGGUUUUCAAGCUCCUGAAGAUUUGGAAGACCUACAAUAGUUGGUGGAGUGAUUAUAUAAUAUUCUUGUUUAGUUUGUGAAACUUGGACACACUUUCUCCACUCAUUUUGCUGCUUGAUAAGCCAUCUGCUCAUUUAGGUUGUGUGGCACACCCAAAAACAUGUACUUCUCCAUUUGUUGCACUAUUUCAUUUUGUUGGUUGUGUGACACAUUUUAAAACAUAUAUGCGCUGUACCUUU
RNAcentral lists this ribosomal RNA (1666 nucleotides) under Triticum aestivum (bread wheat). RNAcentral describes it as "partial small subunit ribosomal RNA". Lineage: Eukaryota; Viridiplantae; Streptophyta; Magnoliopsida; Poales; Poaceae. The record is from RNAcentral.